UGAAAACACCACCAAAAAAUACCCCACUCAGCAAUAUUUAAUUUUAUGUGACAACAUAUCCAUUCGGCCUCGCUGCUAAUUAGUCCAAAUUAGAAACUGUUAGGUCACCAAUUAAUCAGCUAAUAUGUUAAACGGGUUGGCAGAAUGUGAAGAAGGGGAACUUAAGUUCAGACAAGUAGCCCUUUAUUGAACAUUAAUCUCCAUAAUGGUUGCAGUGUUUUCUUCAGGGCUGUGAGCUGGAAGCAUUUCAUAAUGUUGCAAACUAAUUGCAUUGUCUCGACCAUUAAUCUUGUGUGAUCCAAACUGAUUGCAAAGUAAAUUUAGACGGGGAUAAUAAUUCAUCUGUAAAAAGUUCAGGGCAACAAUUUCAGCUGCUAUUAUCCAGUCUGCAGAAGCAGCCUAGAUACUCAGCGGUAGACUAAAGUUUGGUUUUGUAAUUCUCUUUGACAGAUAUCCUUCACUUAGAACUGAUAUAAUGAAUUCAUAUAGAGGCUGGUUGCCUUCUUUCAAAAUUGUUACAUGUUGUAACGUGGUGGCGCUUUUAUUUCCUGUCAUAAGGCGGACCCCUGGUGGUAAGGACUUAACAUUACAUAGGAUCAUCACUUUUUAAACAUUCAACAGAUAUUUAUGGAUUUAAUGAAGAAAGAGUGAUUUCCUCUCUCAGGAUCAGGGAAUUUAGUGUACACAUCUUUGUGGGCAGGUGUGAAACAUUUUCUCACCGAUUGCACUGAAUCUUUACCCAUUGAAUCUUUUAGCCAUGAAAGCCAUGUUGUGUCAGUGUCAUUGCUUUGUAUGAGAUAGGACUGAUUUUGGCGACACACACCUGACACCACUUCUUGAAAAUGUACCAAACUACUUCAUGGAUUCAAGAGCUCAAACUUUUCACAGUUGUUUGUCCUAACUUCAAGUCAUAGCAGUGUCAAACCAAUCAGAGUCAAAGCAAUAAAAGAACCACAGGGAAACUGGAAUAUAAUAUGAUGCUUUAAAAUCUCCUGAAUUUAGCCCAAGGAGGAAACCUCAGUGACAUAGACGCAGGUACAGAUACUUAGGGCACUAUACAUUAAAUACACAAUGACUCCCCUCUGGACAGGGAGAGGAGACUUCUUCUGAAUGACAAUGCACAUUCGAUACUCAUUUGCACAGUUAUAUUUAGAGAGACAUAUAAGCGUUUUUACUGUAUGUAUAGUAACAUAGUAGUCUAAAUUAAUAUCUAUCUAUCUAUCUAUCAUUCAUUCAGACAAUGUGUUUUAUACCCAUGUGUGGAUCAACAGUUUUUCUAUUAAGGAUUAAAAAAGCCAAGGGGCAGGGGUCAGCAGGGGACUGGUUCAAGGCCGACUGUGGAAAAGAGACGGGGUGCAGGCUGCCUUUUGUUCCCAGGAGGGUGUCCUGAGAGUGAAACCUGUCACGGAGCCCAGCAAACUCCAACACUGCUUGACACAUCUGGCACACAGAGCCGCUGAGCUGCUAAGCCUCUGCAUCCUGCAGUCGAGCGUCACAGAGAUUCCGGAUGCAGGCAAGCAGAGUUUCUCCUGAAGCUGUGAUCCUGAGCUUUUCAUACUCAAGGUACCGAAAGUACCAUAGGUAACAGGGUUCCAACACCCAAAAGAUGGCAACAAGUGCAGCUGCAGCGACAGCUCCGUCUCGACUCGUGGAAAAGAAAAACAGGAAGGCAAGGAAGUGCCUCCAUCUGCUCCAUCAGACAUAGCUGCUUUGCCACCUUCCUUCAAGUUAGUGUGGAGUUCAUGCAUGUAUUUUGGUGAAUAUCUGUGUGAAUUUGCUCUGCAUUAAAUUGGGUUUUUGUGUGCAAA
Long non-coding RNA from Micropterus salmoides (largemouth bass), 1808 nucleotides. RefSeq lists it as uncharacterized. The transcript is spliced from 4 exons. NCBI's taxonomy places the organism in Eukaryota, Metazoa, Chordata, Actinopteri, Centrarchiformes, Centrarchidae. The record is from RefSeq and is a predicted model, not a curated record.